GAAAAAGCUAUGAUUGGACAACAGUAGUAGGCAUUUCCCUGUUAAAGUAAUGUUCAAAGAUCAGCUAACGAUAGCGCUUAGUCUCGUUAGCUUGAUCUUUGAACAUUCUAGCUAGAGAGCUGGUGGUCGGUGGAAACCAGUACAAACUUGCUUAUGAAUUACUUCCAAGAGCAUCCUUUGUGAACAGUAUUUUACUUUAAGUAGCGAAGGACGGUUCAAACCGUUAUUUUUCCGAGGUGGAAAGUAUAUUUUACUUUCAACAAGGGUGGUACCGCGACUAUAAGCUCGUCCCUUUU
This 296-nucleotide non-coding RNA is filed under the name Anaerobacillus sp. RNAcentral's name for it is "T-box sequence". It matches the Rfam family "T-box leader". From Rfam's summary of the family: Uncharged tRNA acts as the effector for transcription antitermination of genes in the T-box leader family. T-boxes are found upstream of many aminoacyl-tRNA synthetase genes and some amino acid biosynthetic genes usually in Gram-positive bacteria. Lineage: Bacteria; Bacillati; Bacillota; Bacilli; Caryophanales; Bacillaceae. The record is from RNAcentral.